This 253-nucleotide ribosomal RNA is filed under the name uncultured bacterium. RNAcentral describes it as "partial 16S ribosomal RNA". It matches the Rfam family "Bacterial small subunit ribosomal RNA", at positions 524 to 776 of the family's 1533-position model. The record is from RNAcentral.
UACGUAGGGUGCGAGCGUUAAUCGGAAUUACUGGGCGUAAAGCGUGCGCAGGCGGUUUUGUAAGUCUGUCGUGAAAUCCCCGGGCUCAACCUGGGAAUUGCGAUGGAGACUGCAAGGCUAGAAUCUGGCAGAGGGGGGUAGAAUUCCACGUGUAGCAGUGAAAUGCGUAGAGAUGUGGAGGAACACCGAUGGCGAAGGCAGCCCCCUGGGUCAAGAUUGACGCUCAUGCACGAAAGCGUGGGGAGCAAACAGG